This 497-nucleotide ribosomal RNA is filed under the name uncultured bacterium. Its description in RNAcentral is "partial 16S ribosomal RNA". It matches the Rfam family "Bacterial small subunit ribosomal RNA", at positions 28 to 507 of the family's 1533-position model. The record is from RNAcentral.
GAUGAACGCUGGCGGCGUGCCUAAUACAUGCAAGUCGAGCGAACAGAUGAGGAGCUUGCUCCUCUGACGUUAGCGGCGGACGGGUGAGUAACACGUGGAUAACCUACUUCUAAGACUGGGAUAACUUCGGGAAACCGGAGCUAAUAACGGAUAAUAUAUUGAACCGCAUGGUUCAAUAGUGAAAGACGGUUUUGCUGUCACUUAUAGAUGGAUCCGCGCCGCAUUAGCUAGUUGGUAAGGUAACGGCUUACCAAGGCAACGAUGCGUAGCUGACCUGAGAGGGUGAUCGGCCACACUGGAACUGAGACACGGUCCAGACUCCUACGGGAGGCAGCAGUAGGGAAUCUUCCGCAAUGGGCGCAAGCCUGACGCAGCAACGCCGCGUGAGUGAUGAAGGUCUUCGGGUCGUAAAACUCUGUUAUUAGGGAAGAACAAAUGUGGAAGUAACUAUGCACGUCUUGACGGUACCUAAUCAGAAAGCCACGGCUAACUACGUG